GACGAACGCUGGCGGCGUGCCUAACACAUGCAAGUCGAACGGAAAGGCCCUGCGUUUGUGGGGUGCUGGAGUGGCGAACGGGUGAGUAACACGUGAGUAACCUGCCCUAGACUUUGGGAUAACUUCAGGAAACUGGGGCUAAUCCAGGAUAGGAGCCCCUGCUGCAUGGUGGGGGUUGGAAAGUUUCGGCGGUUGGGGAUGGACGGGCGGCUGAUCAGCUAGUUGGUGGGGUAGUGGAUUACCAAGGCUUUGACGGGUAGCCGGCCUGGGAGGGUGACCGGGGACCAUAGGCCUGCGAGACGGCGCAGUGUCGUAUGGGAGGCAGCGGUGGGGAGUAUGAUACAGUGAGAGGGAGUCUGUUGCGGCGGCGCUGCGGUUGUGAAGACGGCCUGCUGGUUGUGAACCGCAGUCGCUUGUGACGAAGCGUGAGUGACGGUAAUGGGAGAAGAAGCACCGGCUAACUACGUG
This 468-nucleotide ribosomal RNA is filed under the name uncultured bacterium. Its description in RNAcentral is "partial 16S ribosomal RNA". It matches the Rfam family "Bacterial small subunit ribosomal RNA", at positions 28 to 507 of the family's 1533-position model. The record is from RNAcentral.